Molecule: ribosomal RNA, 734 nt
Filed under: uncultured beta proteobacterium
Lineage: Bacteria; Pseudomonadati; Pseudomonadota; Betaproteobacteria
Description: bacterial SSU rRNA
Rfam family: Bacterial small subunit ribosomal RNA
Source: RNAcentral
AUGCAAGUCGAACGGUAGAGGGGGCAACCCCUCGAGAGUGGCGAACGGGUGAGUAAUAUAUCGGAACGUGCCCAGUCGUGGGGGAUAACGUAGCGAAAGUUACGCUAAUACCGCAUACGAUCUACGGAUGAAAGCGGGGGAUCGCAAGACCUCGCGCGAUUGGAGCGGCCGAUAUCAGAUUAGGUAGUUGGUGGGGUAAAGGCUCACCAAGCCAACGAUCUGUAGCUGGUCUGAGAGGACGACCAGCCACACUGGAACUGAGACACGGUCCAGACUCCUACGGGAGGCAGCAGUGGGGAAUUUUGGACAAUGGACGCAAGUCUGAUCCAGCCAUUCCGCGUGCAGGAUGAAGGCCCUCGGGUUGUAAACUGCUUUUGUACGGAACGAAAAGGUUUCCAUUAAUACUGGGAGCUCAUGACGGUACCGUAAGAAUAAGCACCGGCUAACUACGUGCCAGCAGCCGCGGUAAUACGUAGGGUGCAAGCGUUAAUCGGAAUUACUGGGCGUAAAGCGUGCGCAGGCGGUUAUGUAAGACAGAGGUGAAAUCCCCGGGCUCAACCUGGGAACGGCCUUUGUGACUGCAUAGCUAGAGUACGGUAGAGGGGGAUGGAAUUCCGCGUGUAGCAGUGAAAUGCGUAGAUAUGCGGAGGAACACCGAUGGCGAAGGCAAUCCCCUGGACCUGUACUGACGCUCAUGCACGAAAGCGUGGGGAGCAAACAGGAUUAGAUACCCU